AUCUUCUCCAAGAAAGUAAGUGUAGAGAUAGUAGAUAAACCUCCAAUGAUGCCAACAGUGUUUUCUUGGUUGAUCAAUGAUUUAGGAAUAUGAUUUGAACAGAUAAUCUUCUUAGAUUUGGACAAACUUCUCUUUGUUCUAUGAUUGAUCCUGUUCUUACAGAGGUUACCUAUGAAGAUUGAUGGGAAAUUGAGCUUGUGGAAGGAUAUGGUACUCAUAAGGAUGGAAAUGGCUGAGAAUAUUUUUAGUAUAAUAAAAUUUCUUGUUACUUCCUAUAUAAUUUUUUUUUCCAAAGUGAUCGCUAAAGCUUAUAUUUUGUUUGAGUAAUACGACUCGGCAGAGAUGAUCGCCAGUCUAUUUGGUUGGCGAUAUGACAACCAGCAAUUUGAUGUGGCAUUGACUUUAAAAAUUAUGAGAAUUUAUUUGAUUAACUAAGACCCUGUUUGUUUUCAAUUAUUUGAAGAGAAUAAUCCAUUUUUUUAACUUUUUUGUCAGCACACGGGAUCUAUUGUGAGAUAAAAAGUCAAAAAUUACGGCUGAAAUAGAUGUAACAAUCUGAAAAUGAAUUUAAAUUGAGCAAAAAGUUGGUGGCAAACGGGGGUUAAACUUAAAAACAAAGUUAGGGCAUUCUAGAACAUGAUUGUCUAGCCACGUCCACUAAUAAUAAUUAGUAGAAGAAAG
This 681-nucleotide long non-coding RNA is filed under the name Olea europaea (common olive). RNAcentral's name for it is "long non-coding RNA (OEUR_LNC012221)". Lineage: Eukaryota; Viridiplantae; Streptophyta; Magnoliopsida; Lamiales; Oleaceae. The record is from RNAcentral.